This 34320-nucleotide long non-coding RNA is filed under the name Phaseolus vulgaris (common bean). RNAcentral's name for it is "long non-coding RNA (PVUL_LNC001154)". Lineage: Eukaryota; Viridiplantae; Streptophyta; Magnoliopsida; Fabales; Fabaceae. The record is from RNAcentral.
CCGCAUCGGAUUCUUCAAGAGAUACUGUGAUAUGCUUGGAAUUGGUUAUGGCAACAACCUUGACUGCAACUCACAGACUCCAUUUGGAAAUUCACUCUCACUCUCUGACCAGUGAGACUCCCAUCCCAUCAGAAUAAAUAAAUAAACUCAAUAAAUCUGUGUUUCCACAACUUUCCCACCAUCUAUCAAUAACACUCCUAGUUUCCCACCAUCUAUCAAUAAAUUCAUCACUUCUAUAUACCAUAUGCACACCAACAUGCUACUCUUUUAUUAUUAUUUUUUUCCCAUUCAUCUACGUACAAAUAUUAUAGUUAUUAUAUAAUAAAACUAUGUUGUGGAAGAAUGUGAUGAAUGCAUAAUAAAUGAUAAGAAAACAUGACUGCAUGGAUCAAAUAUUGUAAUGAGCACGGCAAGGCGAGGGAGGAUUCAACCUGCAUUGGAGUAUGUUUCUAUCAACGGCAAGACUUCCCAGACCCCUAACUUUCCCACCCAAAAUAUUUAAUCUAACUAUUCUUUUUUUUAUUUUAUCUUUAAACUUAAUAUAUAUUUAACCACUUUACACACAAUUUUAACAGUGUUUGAAUUUAAUGAUUUACUCUUUGUAAUUAAAGGAUAAGGAGAAGAGAAAGUUUAGAAAUCUAUGCAUUGGAAAAUGUAAAAACACAUAAAUCUGAUUUUAUCUUUCUUCUACCAAAAUUCAAAGAAAAACAUUGAUGAGUGUUUGCCUUGAUAGUGUUAGAUAAGAAAAUAAAAAUAAAAUAGUGUUAAAAAAAUAAAAAUGUAAAUAGUAUUAUAUAAAGAAUUGAGUACACAAAUUUUUAUCCUUAAAUUUCAAUAUAUAUUUUUCAUAUAUAAUAGUAUAUAAAAAAUUCUCCCAUUUUAUAUUUAUAUAUUUUUAAUUAUAUUUUAAAAUAAAUUAUCAAAUUAUUAAGAACAACUGUUCACACAUAUUUAAAUAGCACAACACAUUAUAAACCAUUCACAUAUUUUUGUAAUUAUCCACUAUUCUUCUAUAUAAUUGUCAUUAUUAAUAUUGCUAUUUUUCUUAGAAUAUAUAAUUUCUCAUUGAUUUAGACGACAUGCAAAUGAGUAAACACUAUGACAUGCAAUACUAACAUUUUUUUAACACUUCAAAAUAAAGGUUUUGUAAACAUGAUUUAACAUUUAACGACAUGCAUUCUCUUCCCUUCCUAAAUGGAUAUUCUAGAGGUGAUGCUUAAUAAUUUCUUAUGAUUUGUUCCGGAACAUCUCGUAAUGAAAUUUAUGAUUAUGGAACAGCUAUAUAAAACAAUUUAAAAUGAAUGUUCUAAAAUUAUUUUUUGGUAGAUUACGGCAAGGUGUUUGAUGAAGAGCGACAAGACUGAACAGGCUCUUGUUCAAGGCAGAUUUCCUUCUGGGUGCUCUGUGUUUUAUUUAUUAUGUUGAACUGUUUAAAUAUCCCAACUCAUCCUCUUUUCUUUCUGAAUCGGAUUCCCUUAUUCAAUCUUCAUGACGGUGUUGUAAAUGUGGUUCAGCUUCAGGAGACCUCUUGGAGUCCAACAACAUUAAGCUAUUUUUUUUUUCUUAAGUAGCGUUUCACCCACAACAGUUGGCAACUUUCUUAGCGGUCAAGUUGUUAGACGUAAAAUCAUUCAGGUACUUUCAUCAAACAGUUUUAUCUUUAACAAUAGUUGAUUUCAUCUCAGUUCAUAACACAAGUUGGUCUUUCCCAUCGCCAUCAUCCAGAGCAAUCAAGAUAGAAAGGAGUGAAUCCACUUGAUCGUCGUUCACUAUCAAAACUAUCUUUCAUGUAUAUAGUGUUUGCAUUUACAUCCUGCAUCCAAUCUGAGAUGCGCAUGCCAAAAUUUACCAGUUGGAUUGUGUGAAUGCAUACCAUACCAGUUUGUGUAAGGAGAAUAAAGUCACACUAAUAACCAACAUUUUACUAGAUCUAUACUAUUUUGAAACUUUCAUUACAUUCCACUGGAAUUGCCAGAAUACGUUUUCUUCAAAUUCCGACCCUUUUAUCCUGUGAUUUCUGAUGUACUAGAAUGUUGACCCGUGGAAUAUUUUAAAUAUUUAAUAUUUAAAAUAAUAAAUCUAUACAUCAAAAUUAAGAAUGAUUGUAGGGUCAAUUAAAAUUAUAAAUCAAAAUUACCUCACUUAUUCAAUUAUUAGUAAAUAAUUAAGAAUACAUCAAAUAGAUCAAUUAUUUAAUUAUUAGUAAACAAUUAAGAAUACAUAAAAAAAAAUUAUGACCCAAAUUACAAAUAACAUCUUGUAUUAUAUUUAUUGUCAUAACAAAGUACAAAUAUAUUGAGAUUCAUCUUUUCUCAAAUUUAAAAAGCAAGACAUGUUUGAUCCAUAAAUAGUACAUUUUUGUUGUGAAACAUUGAGUUUGAGCAUUUUCUUGUUCAUCAAAUUGGCAAGGAAUGUUUUGUACCUGUAAAAAAUAAAGCAUACAGAAUCUUUUAGAUACAAUAUCCAUGAGGUAAUAAUAAAUAAAAUAAUUUUUUAAAUCAUAUAUUCAUGUAGCUGCCUUAUACAUGUUAACCACAUAGAAAAUGGUAAACACAUGGUUCCAAAAACAGCAAGCCAUAACUUAAAUGUAUACGCCUACAUGUAUGAAUAAUAUUGUAAAAUCACUGUAUUCUGUUUCAUAUUAUUAAAUAAAGACUAUUGACAUAGUAAAUUGUCACCUAACGAUAUAUCUCAUGAAUUAUAGGAAAUACUAUUAUAGAAUAAAUAUCAACUUCAUCAUUUUAGACCAAGUCUAUUUAAGGCUCAAUCAUACAACAAUUUUUCAACAAUUUCAUGGGAAAUGCAAAAUAAAUUCCAUAACAAAAGAAGUAAGAUGUAUUGUUAAGUUCAAAGCUUUAUAACAGAAAAUAUACUCAGUAAAAGAACUAAACAUACUAAAAACAAUACAAAAUGGACUACAUAGUUGCUUUUCUUUAGGUGCUAUAAUAUGAGCGUUGAUCAAUAUUGUAUUUAAUGUCAACAGAUCUCAAUUUGCAUCUUAUGUUAAUUGCAUCAUUGCAAAAAAUAAUAAAUAAAAGAGAAAUGUCAAUAUAAGAAUGGACAAUUAAUACAAUCAUGGAAAUAUUGAAAAUUGUUAACAAUGAUUGAGUACCUGUCAUAGGUUUUGUCUUGGUAGUUUAAAGGAAUGUACUGCUGAAGUUAAUAGUUACGAAACAAAUAAGAUAGAAUAAUAUGAUACAAUAAAUUUAAUUAGCAAAAGUUCUAUUGGUUUUUGGUGACUAUGUUGCUUGUUUUUGUAAACAAAGAACCAUAUAACUAUCUGAAUACAGCUGAAGUUUGAUCACUUUAUUUAGGAAGCAUUAUGUAACAUCACAUAUGUAAAAUAUUAUAAUAUAGAACCUGUGUAAAGUAUAAUAGCUUCCUAUUUUUUGUACUGAAUAUCCCCUUCUUUCUCACUAAGUACAAUGGAGUUCUUGUAUUAAAACCCUCCCAAAGAAACAAAUUCAUCAAAACAGAAUUAUUCACAAUUUAAAUUAUGAAAUUUAUUAAGAAGUUAUAGAUGAAUACCUUUCUUUGUAAUGCAUUAUAGUCAUGUUGAAAAAUUUACUAUGGAAAUUAAGAGGAAACCUGUAAAUACAAAAAAAAAAAAUAUUGGUUUCUUUUUGCUAUAUUAGAAGAUAUAUUAGAAGAAAGAUAUGAGAAAUAUAAAUAGUUUGGGAUUAAAGAAUUUUCAUACCUGAUAAGUAUGGAUGUAACAAUAUUUUUCAAACAUUUUCAAAUAUUUCUCUGUAAACCACAUUAGUAGUCGAAUUAGUGGUAUUUCCAUCAUCAUCCAAAAUCAAUAUUUUCAACCCUUUCUUGGAUUUUACUCUGGAAACAACAACAUAUAAUUGUCCAUGUGUAAACACUGGAUGUGGUAAAUAUAGACCAACUUUAUUAAGUGUUUGUCCUUGGCUUUUGUUUAUUGUCAUAGCAAAGCACAAAGAUAUUGGGAAUUGUCUUCUCUGGAACGUAAAAGGCAAGCCUGAUUCAGAAGGAGUCAAAUUCAUUCUAGGAAUUAAUAUGUUAUCGCCAAUAUUUUUUCCGGUAAUAACUUUGGCAGCAAUAACAUUUUUCCCCAAGUGAAUUACUUGUAAUCUGGUUCCAUUGCAAAGUCCAUUGGCUUUAUCAAUGUUCCUUAGAAGCAUUAUUGGAACUCCAACUUUUAAUUUAAGACUGUGAUUAGGAAUUCCGGAACAUUUGAUAUUAUUCAAAAAUUCAGUUGUAAACCACUCAACUUGAGCAUUUUCUUGUUGAUCAGAUUGGCAAAGGGAGUCUGAACUUAAAUAAGUAAUUUCUUCUCCGGGGAUUAAUGUUAGAAUGAAGUCAUUCACUUGGUCCACACAUUCUGUAGUAGGACACAAUAUUGCACCAUCAUCAAAAAAUCCAUCAGAGUUCAGAUUUUGCAUGUACCCUGGAUAAACAAAUUCAACCAAGUGCAAUAAAGGUUGUUCAACAUUUAGAAUUAGAAUGUCUUGUGGUAUUUCAAUAGUUUCUUGUCCCAACUCAUUUAAGUCCAUAUCUCCAUCUCCAAUGUGAAGUAUCCAAUCUGCAAAAUCUUUUACUUCUGAUGCAGUUUGCUUUGAUCUUUCACUGUUUAAUCUCAUAUUUUCUGUAAGUUUGAAGACUUUGCAAUGUUUCCAAAAUUCUGAGUAGUUCACUAUUGCCUUCACAAUGUCAUAUCUUGAUCCCUUUUUUACAACAGACAAUAUCUGCCUAAAAUUACCUCCCAAGACAAUGACUUUGCCACCAAAAGGUUUAAGAGCAUUUUCUUCACUUACAACCUUCAUGACAUCCCUUAUAGUUCUAUCGAGAGCUUCAAAACAGAACCUAUUGAUCAUUGGAGCUUCAUCCCAUAUAAUUAAUUUAGUUUCAAUCAACAAUUUGGCACGAAAAAUUCCUUGAGGUAUGUUGCAGGUUGAAUGUUCAUUUAUUAACAAAGGAAUGCAAAAUGUAGAAUGAGCUGUUUUUCCUCCAGGUAGUAACAAAGAAGCUAUACCGCUAGAAGCUACAUUUAUCACAAUCAACCCUUUUGAUCUAAUUGCAACAGACAAAGUUUUCCACAUAAAGGUUUUUCCUGUGCCACCAUACCCGUAUAGGAAAAAUAAAAUUGCCAACUUGUGACAGUACUGUUGUCAUUAUAUUCUCAUACACAACCAGUUGCUCCGCAGUUAGAGAUUGAAAAAGAGAAGAAUGAAUUUCAGACAUUUGUAUCUUGUCAUAAUUUAAUUCAUCAAUAAUGAAUCUAUUCUCAUAAAUAAAAGAAUCUGAAUGAAUAGGUUGUGGAAGACUGUUAAAGUCUUUUAAAGAUUUACCAUUACAAAUCAAUAAGUCUUCUAGUUGUAGAAGACAAAGGUUUUGUAUUUGAUCAUCUUCAAUUGUAAGACCUAGCAAAACAACAACAUUUCAUAUCUUGAACAAAAUAAUAUGUUAUAAAGUUUGAGGAAAACAAAAAGUUAUACCUGGUAGGUUAAACUCUUUUCUAUUUUGGUAUACAAUGUCAUCAGAUAACAAUUUCCAAGUUUUGUUCCAAACUUCCUCAGGUCUAGACAUAGUAUUCAUGAGUAGCAGUGUAACAAACAAUCUUCUCAACUGAGUUCCUGAAGCAAGGUUGCUGGCCUCUAUAAUGGCAUCAAUAAAUUCUAUAUCCUCUGCCAAUAGCCCCAUGGCAUAGCAAUCCUCUUUAUACGUUUUGUAAAUUACACCAUUAAUAGUCCUGAUGUUAUCAUAAUUACAACAACACUUUUUAAAAUUCAACAAUAACCUGAGAUAAUAUAAUUCCCCUAAGCCAGGAGGAAUAUAUGUAAGCCUUCCAAUACUAACUCCCCUCUUCCUUGGUUUCCAUUCUCUUUGUUCUGCCAUCCACACAAAAUGGUUAGGGUAUUCAGAAUAAGUCAAAUUUUUCCCCUAUGGAUAGAUUUUAUUAGCUUCAAACCAAGCUAAAAGCAUUUUUCUUUUAUGUUCAUUUGUAUGCAGUAUUUCAUCAAUAUAUUCAUUGUCUUUAAAUAGAAUGGGUUGCUCGUAUAACAGAUGAAAAGUCAACCUUUGAACUGGAGGCCAUCUAUGAUGAAUGUCAAAGGCAAAUAUUCUCCACACAGCUUCACAGGGAGAUAUAUAUCUACAAUCAUAAUAUUGUUUAAUUUCAUCUAUAACUGGUGUCUCAGUAGAGUCUUUCUGAGAAUUAGUAAUUUUCAAAUUUGCUCUAUCUGAACCUUUGUUGACAUAUUUAAACAAAUACUUGAUUGAAUUAGAUUUGUUGCAAUAUUCUGUGUUAACAUGAGCCUGGUACCUCAGUAGUAGUAAUGGGCUAUAUGGGACAACAUUUCUAUUGUUUAACUUAAUUCCAUUUUAAGAAUGAAUACUCCUUCAUCUCGACGUCUGUAGCAUGGAUAUCCAUCCUCAUCAAAAGUAGUCAACAAUUUAAAUUUCUUUGGGUAAAAUUUUGAACAUGUACCGUUAGUCAUGCAAGGUGAGGAAAACCAAGCGGCUCCGCAUGGACCAUGUAUCAUGUAUGUUGCAACUGCCUUUGACAAUUUAGGAUAUAAAUUUGCGUGCGGUAAUUCUGCUGAAAUUACAUCAUCAAUGUCUGUUGGAGUUCUUAACUUUUUCUCUCCAUCCAACCACAAUAAUAUGUGGGCAUGAGGCAAACCCCUUUUUUGAAAUUCCACAAUGUACAUACCUAUAAUAAGAUAUAAAUUGAUUGAAUUAUAAUGCAUAAAAGUUGAACGAAAUUUUAAAAUAUGGAUUACUGUCAUUACCUGCAUUAACUUUGCCAAAAUAUUCAUCUUUUUUUAAGUCAACCAUCAUUUGAUCUAAUUUCAUCUUGAAUACUCUGCAAACUAUGUCUGGCCUAUCAGCAGCAGUUAAUCCUCUUGAUGUAACAAACUCACGUAUUUCAGACUAGUUUACAUUGCAAGUAAUAGUGAUGAAUAAAUCACGAUAUCCAAACCUUUUACAAAUUGCCAUUGCAUCUUGGCAAUUGUUGAACAUGUACCUCAUUCCUCCUGUAAAUGAUGCAGGUAAAACUAUACGCUUCCCAACUGCAGAAGAAUUUGUUUCUCCUCUAUUCAUUGCCUCUUGUACACCGUGGAGAAUAUCACAACGUAUUGUUGUUUGGUUUCCUCUUAUGAACGACAAUCUUUGAGCUUCAACCAUAGUAUAUGCAUCAACCAAGAAUUGUUGAAACAAUCGACGUGAAUGGACUAUAUUUCCAAACUCAACACUUCUUUCUUGAAUUCUAAAUGCAAUGAAUUCUCUUAACGAUAUACGAUUUCUUUUGCGUUCUUUGCUAUUACUUCCAGAAUUACGUAUGGGAAUAUCUUCUUGAUACCCAUCUUCUCCAAAGGGGAAUAUUAAAGGAUAUUGUAAUGUGAUGAAGGCUGUAUGUGUCCCAUGCAACCUAAACAAUUGUCCAGAAACUUUUUUCACUAUGAUAUCUCGUCCUACAUCCAUGUUGCUCAUAUCACCCACAAUUAACGUUGCUAUCUCAUCAGUUGUAGGGGUAUUGAAUCGAUGUCUAAAUAACCUCAAUGCAAAAUUUGAAUGUUCAAGAUCUUGAAUCAAUGAUGUAUCAAACUUCAACUCUUUCAAAUUGGACCUACAUAAAAUUUAAAUAAAUAAUUAAUUCAAAAUGAUUUUAUAAAUGAAUUUGCUGAAAAUAAUCUAACCUAAUGUAACACAUACCUAAAGUGAGAUACUCUGUUUGAGACUUCAUUUUGAGUAUCAUAUAUGUAAAGUUGUGCGAACUUGGGCGUUUCUCCACUGUCAGGGAGUAAGUUUCCAAUGCUAUGAUAGUUUUUUCCAUGCAGAAUAAAUUGAGGAGGCCCAAACCCAUCAUUUACAGAAGAGUGAACUUUUCCUUCAAUUGAAGUAAAUGAAAACAUACCAUUGUAACUUCUUAUAUGUUGUAAAUAGUGUUGGCUUUGUGGAUCUUGACCAUUUAAUAACUCUAGCAUCAAUUUAGGAGGUUGUUGUAGGAAAGGUAGUUGUACUUUUCCUUUUUGGAAACAUAUAGAAAAAUCAACCUUUAGGCAAGUCUUUGCUUUCAGGGAUCUUUCUUCAUACCACACCUCGGCCAAACAAUAUUCACAUUGAAUAUUAGGUUGUCCAAAUGAAACAAUAUCUAUAUUGAAAUGAUAAAUAAGGUUAUAUAUUACCUUUACAUUAAUGCAUUUAAUUUGAAUACAAAAGUUAAGGUAAGAGACAUGCACCUUCAUUUUCAGCUUUUGAAUACAAUUCAUAAGUGUAAACUUCUAUGCUCUCAUCUGAACUCUGCAACGGCGACGGAAACGAAAACUCACCCUGCAACAACGACGACGGAAACGACAACUCACCUGCAGCAACAACGACGACAACGACAACACACCUGCAGAAACGACGACGACAACGCACCUGCAGAAAUGACAACGACAACGACAACGACAAUGGCAAUGCACCCUGCAGCGACAACGACAACGACGACAACACACUCUGCAACGACAACGUCCUCUGCAAUGGCGACGACAACACAUUCUACAACAAUGUGCUUCUCUGCUUCGAAGGAGGCCAACCUUUUCAAGUUUUAUCAUCGUAAGUUUUGAUUCGUGAUCCAUUCUUGCCUUUGCUCACUCUGUAUCUUUCCCAUCUUAAAACCCUAGAUUCUGUUAUUUGUAUUCCUUCAUUUAAUUGCUAGUUGUGUGUUGUUUGGCUUCUCUUUUAAUCAAUCUGAUAUAUUGAAUUUAAUUAAAUAGCACCACACAAAGUAUAAUCCUCAUAUGUCAUUAUUCUUCUACUACCACUGGUCGUCACUUCAAAGUGAGUUCAAACAAACUGUGCUAAAAUAUGAGUUUCGGUGCUAUAGUUGGUACUUAGAAUUAUGAUAAUAUAGUCCAGAGUAUCCAGUGACUGAAUGUAGAUGAUAGACACACAUGCAGACAGGGACAAUCACAGAUUAUAUUGUUCAACACUUUGCAUUUUGCAUUUGCAUAGCCAUAAAUAUUACGCAAAGAAAGAAAAGAGAAAGGAAGAGGGAAACACACACAGUGGAAAGAUAAACUCACACUAUGGAUUUCUUUUUAGUCUACAUACUAAUAUUUUUUACUUAUUGAUGAUUAAACCUCUGUUAAAGAACAUGGUUGUUAAAAAGUUUGAUUCCAAAAGUGUGUUCAAGGAACUUGUGUUCAAAUUCAACUUAGCCACUGUCAUAUAUAGUAAACUUUGUUUAAGCAAUAAAAGAAAUGUUUGAAACUAUUGAAGUCAAGAAAUAUUUUCUACUAUGAAAUGUUUGUAUGAUUAUGAAAAUAUAUUUUGUUUUAAAUAGAAAAGUUGUAAGAAAGAGUAUCAAGUUGGUUUUUAUUUUUGUUUGAGGGGUCAGUGAUACUUAACACUGCUAUGUGUUGCUGUUUUUGGGGUUUCACCCAAAGGGCUGCCUUUUUCCUUUUCAGACCACCUACAAACAGAUACUACCUAACAAGAAGGGUGAGCAUCAACUUCUUUAGAGUGAAGCCAGAUUCCAGUUGAAUCACACUUGGGAGAGUCUACCUCUGAACCCAGUAUAGCUGUUGAAGGGUAGGUAUGAGUUGAGUCUUGAAGCUGCCUUUGGGUUUAAAGAGAUGUGAAUGGAUUUCGUGCCUCAAUUAUUUAAUUUAAACUGUGGAGUAUUUAAUUUUGUUGUACAAACAAGCCCAGGGGUGCUAGAAGAGUUUGUUUAAUUCAUUUUUUUACUCACAUUUUCCCUUUUACUUGCUUUUCUAGAUAGAUAACUUAGAAUUUAGUACUCACGAUAGUUUAUUGUGGGUUCCAAUCAGCUUAAGGGAUUUGGACAAGUAUAGCUUCCAAAUUCGAAGAAUGUAAAUUAUACUACCGUACCGAUAGAAUUUUAUAAGAAUGAUCACUUAUAUUUUCAUUUUAAAGGUUUAAUUUGAGUCUGACUGUCUACUGGCUGCUUCAAGACAUGUAAUUAUUAAGCCGUUUUAUAUAACACUUAAAAUAUGGUUUUAUCUGGGGAAUUUUUCCUAUCUUUAUAUGCUUUGUUGUCCUAAUUGAUAGUCCAUGUGUGACAUUGACAGGUCUUCCUCCUUUUGGGCAAAGCCUUCAUGUUUGUGGGUUUUGUAUGGUUUUAAAUACUAUUGUUUUUUAUGUGUGCUUCAUAUUACAUCUCCAUGCAUUCUGCUUUUGGAGGUUUUCUAUAGGAAUAAUUAUGUUGUUUUGACAACUUCUAGAAAAUCUGAUGUAGGUGUCAAAGCAUCUCAUGAAGACGGUUUCUCAGCUGGGCACUGGAAAUAAGCCUGUUGGUACUACAACUUAUAUGGCUCGAAUGGAACAACUGAUGUAAUACCACUCUGAUGUUAAAAAUGGGUAUAGUGAAAUUGGAGAUUAUGCCUAGUCUAACCAGAUCAUUUUCAUGAUAUCCAAAUCAAAUAUGGCUUUAUUUAAUAUUUCUAGUACUAACUAUGAGUUGUAAUAUUAUGCUUGUUUUAUUCCCUGCACCUGAGGAUUGGUUGAAGCCUAAUGUUGUGUUGGAAGCAUUUGAAGCCAGGGCUGCUAGGAUGUGUGUUGCUUGUGCUCAAAAUCUUAGCGAGUUCUCUAAUCCUGAAGAGAGUAAAUGAUUCAAUCUAGAAGCCUAAUGUUUGUAUUAUUAUAUUCUUAAUAUUACCUAAAAACUAUUUUAUUUGAUAUAAUAUAAGAAAUCAUUUUUUUAGUAAUAAUUCAUCCUUUGUAUAUGUUUCAAGGUAUCAUAUAUAUUUGUUUACCAUAGCUUAAUUUAUUUCUAAUGAUUUGUCUAUAAAAAGGAGCUAAAACAUAUUGGAAUCUGAAUUCAUCUUCUUGAAUGAGUGUAAAUAAAAUGUUUGAGAUACUUUUAAGUAAAAUUAUCACAUUUGUUGUGACAAACAGCUUCGAAAACUUUUACUGACUAAUUUUUCUAGUUUUUAUUUUUUUUCUUAAACCUAAUAAGCGGUUCCAAAGUUAGUUGUCUGUUUAUAAAAUUUGCAUGAGAAACAUAAAAUUAAUAUUUAUAUUUACUAAAAUAGAAAGAUAAAGUACAAAUAUAGAACAAUGAAAAUUCCUCUUGAAAUAAAAUGCAUCUAACAAAUUUGAGAAAUAGUUUUAUUUUUACACGGACAAAAGGAAUAUAUCAUGAGCUACGAAAAUAAAAUAAUUUCAACUUGGGUUUAUUGGAUUAUCUUUUGUUUCUAUCACAAUCUUAGUUCACAUUCAUAAUUUAUAAAAAAAAAUUAUAAAAAUUGAAAAAAAUUACUCACUUUUAACCAUAUCUCGAUUAUGAACAUAAUUGUUUUGAGUUGACAAACUCUAUAAAUUUAUUUUAAAAUUAAUAAACUUAAAUCUACAAAUAAAUAUAAAAUAUGAAAAAGUAAGUAGGUAAAUAAAAUAAUAUUUUAUAAUAAAUUAUAUUAUUUUGAAACCAAUAUAAUGACCAGUUUUUGGGUAUUUAUAUAUUUGGUCAUUAAAUGAACUUCUAUAUAUUUUGGUCACUAAAUUAGUUUUAAUGAAAUUGGUUGUUAAUUUAGUUUCUAUAUAAUUGGUUACUAAAUUAGUUUCUAUAUAUUUAGUUACUAAAUUGGUUUUUAUUUAAUGGUAACUAAAUUGGUUUCUAAAUUAGAAUCAAAAUUAAUUUCUAAAAUUAGCGUUUAGAAAAGAAAAAUAGUUUCUAAAAACAUUUUUUCUUAUAGUGAUUUUACUAUUUGUUCAAUAAACUUACCUGCCUGAAUCCCUGAUCAACCACCCCUGGUGAAAAAGCAGCAACUAGGCUAACCUUCCCUUCACCAGGACAUGAGCCCAGUACCACGGCUGCUGGAUCUGUUAGUGUUUCCAGUAAAUAUUCUGCGGCACUUUUAAGUGAAUCAGCAUCAACAUCAUCGAAACACUCAACUAGUACCCUGCAAAUUUUCAACAAGAAAUAAAUAAAAACGAUACAUCUGCUUAAUGUUUAACAAAUUUUUAAAGAUAAUUUUUUGUCAAGUCCUACUAAUUAGUUUAACAACAUAAUGGAAUACUCAGUAAAAAAAACAAGAUAAGGAAAUAUAAAUACAAGGGACAUCCUUUCAACUUAAUUUCUAAUAAUUUCUGUAACAAUCAUAAAACUAUAUAUUCAAUGGACUACCAGUAAUGUGAUGCAAUCUGCUUCUUAAUUGUCAGAUUUGUUUGGUUUUGACGAUAAAAACUUCAAGUGAGAAAAGGUUGCAAAACUUCUAUAUCAAAGAAACAUCUUCAGGUAGCUAAAACUGAAGAGAUCUCUCUCCCCCAUUAUCAGGGCAACAUAUACCAUCACACGGAGAAACAUUACCUGUACUGUUUUGAAUUCCCCACCAACGAUGCUUUGCUCGCAAUAACGGAAGCUUAAAAGGGAUUUGUGAAAGGGGAAGGAUCAAGCUAGUUAAGUACUUCAUCGAGCGUACCCUGAAAGCCAAGGUCUUGCAAUUGAUACUCUACAACUCUUCACUGAGCCUAUGUAUUCAACCCCUUCAAAGGUAACUCUUUUUAAGACACCAACCACCAACUCUAAUACUAAUUUAUUCAUACCCAAGUAUUUGAGGAAUCCUUCCUUAGAAGCUAGUUGCUAAGGGGGCGAAUCAAACCACUUAAGUACUUCACCAAACAUCCUAUACUACUCGAUAUGAAAUUUAGGUAUUCCCUAAUAUCUAAGUCCUUAUUGAUAUUAACCGAGAAUUUCAGAAGUAUUAUUGACGUGAGUCCCACCACAUAGUUCCAUUGAUACACCGGAAAUCUCUACGACACGUACCUGCAGUACACCAAAUUUGAAGCCAAAAUAAGCUGCAUAAUACAUCAGCUUCAUAAAUACAAAUUCUUAAUCUUUUCCUUGAUUGAUGAGAAGAUCUGGAACAAAUAACUGUAAUCUAUCAUUGAAGUGAUGGGCAAAUAGGAUUAAACAUUAUUUUCAGUUUCAUUAACAGGAUAUUCUCCUAAUAGGAUUUACAGAACAAGUUUCUUACUGUGCUGUACAUGAUUUACUACUCUGGUCCAUGUGCAAGCGCAUGUCAGAAAUACAGGGAUAAUUACUAGUACAUCAGAAAUGACAAUUGUAAUUGGACGUAUUUCAAAUUUGCACUUUUUUUGGCAUGAGUAGCAAUCUAACAAUAGUAAAAAGGGAAUUUAAGUCAUAAGAAGUAUUGUUUUGAGCGUUAGUUGUAUUUUAAACCUUACCUGAAGUUCACCUACUUUUUUUUCUUUUUUUUUUAUCAGCAAAUAAUAGAAUUAAAUUAAAAAGAACAUCGAUGUUCCAACCCUUACACAAAAUCAUUCACCAUUUGUAGCUAUAAUCAUAUCUAAAUUAAGGCAACCAAACCAUAAAAAAAAUACAACAAACAGCUACCAAAGUGCCUCUAAAUUAUGCAGUAAGAACAUGGCAGCUAGUCCCAACAUCCUGUACCCCUGGAUCUACAUCAAACAUGUAAUUCCCUGACUUCUUUCCCUCUGCUGCAGCCCCAGAUACCUCCUACCCAUCCCUUGGCCCAUCUUGUUGGUAUUUCAAUGCAUACAAGCCCCCAAACUGUCUUCAACCGGGUUCUCUACACUACAUAAAACUAGCAUCCAGCGACACCCAGUUCAAACUUCACUUCAACCGGGUUCACCUACUUUGAAUACACAUGUCAUGAUAAACGUAGUCUACAAGCUUAGAACUACUAAAACAAAAGUAAUACAAUCGAACUUUGAAGGUCAAUACUACAAGUGUUUGAAGUAAAUCCUACCUCUUCUCCAUAUUUUUCUCCAAACAUUGCAAUAGCCCCAGCAGCACUUUUUGCAUCAGCCAGAGGCAUCACUUUGGUUUGAAGUAGUGUUGCAUCUUCAAUCCAUCCAAUGAUUAGCACUUCAAUUUCAGCAAGUUCAGUAUCAUGAAGUGGUCGGUGGAAGUUGAAAUCAAACCUGAGACGAUCAAAUGCCACCAGUGAACCAGCUUGUGAAGUCUCCUGACCAAUAACUUUUUUAAGGGCAGUUUGUAGUAGAUGAGUGAGUAGCAGUAUGAUGGACCUACAAAACCCAACUAUACUUAUUAUAAUUUGAACAACUUGUAAGUUUGAAAAUCUGAAAAUAUAUGACUAUAAACAAGCAAAUCAACAGUUCUUGCACCUUAGCUCGCUGCCUCAGCUUCAUAUCAACUGCUGCUUCCACUUCUUUGCCAACCUCUACAACACCCUUUUGGACUGUACCCUUGUGCACAAAUAUGUUGCCAAAUGAUUUCUGAACAUCUAUUAUCUCCACAACAGCUUUUAGUUGAUUAUCACCCUCUGAAAUAUAUAGAAAACCAUGAUCGCCAAAUUUGACCCCGAUUCAACAUAAAAUGGUCUUAUUCAGUAAAACUUUCACAUUACUCCCUUCACUGACCUGUACAGCUGGAUUUCCAUUCACCAUGAGGCUUUCUAUCAUUGCUUUACAAUGAAGUCUGUCAUAUCCAAUAAAUUCAGUGUCAGGUACAUUCUCUGCAAUAUUUUCCCCAUUUUCAAUGGCAAGUUUAAUAGUAUUGUGUGCAGCUUGAGAUUGACGCCUUUGCUUUUCCAUCUCAAUAUCAAAACCAUCCAUAUCAAUACUCACACCACGUUCUUCAGCCACUUCUUUUGUUAUUUCCAUUGGAUAUCCAUAAGUAUCAUACAACAGAAACACAUCUUCGCCAGCCAUGCAAGGAACAGUUCCAUUUCUUUCUGCACUUGAUAAGGCAUCAGCAAGUUUCUCCUCAAGCAACUUUUCUCUUCUCUCCAGUGUCUGCACAAACAGAAGCUCUUCUCUCUUCAGCUCCUCAAAAGAUACGUGGCGCUUUGUUCUUCACAUCAGCCUCAAUGUGUGUAUUUAAUUCCACAACCUUCUCAGCAAUAAUUGGUAAAAACGCUCCUUCAAGGUCUCCCCUAGAAUCACCCUUUUCCAGAAUACGUUUUUAGAUUUUUUUGUUGAGAAUGAAUUUUUUUUGUUGUGGAUUUUUUUUAUUAAGAAUGGAAUUUUGAAUAUAUUAUUUUUAAUUCUGGAUUUUUUUAUCAUUCUAUAUUUUUAUUUUGGAAACACAAUAAUCUCUUUCAUAUCUAAAUGUAUUAUUUUUAAUUCUAGAUUUUCAUCAUUUUUGGAAAUUUAAAACGGGGUUGAGUGGAGGUUAAAAAAGAUUGGAAGUAGGAAGAAUUUGUCUUUUAAUUUUUGGGAUUCAACUUCAAAUGUGUAUCUUUUCAGUUAUAUAGAUUUGUUAUAUUCUCAAAAUUUAUAAUUUAUUAUUAAUCUUUGUUCACCAGUUUUAUUUAUUCAGUAAUUAUUUAUUUAUUACUUGUCCAUGGCGGAUACAUACAAUCUUCUUCUUGGGGUUGAUUCAAAAGACAUAAUUACAUUGGAGAAAUAUUUGCAAGACUACUUCAGUAACAUAUUAAAGAAAUUGAAGGAUCUCAAGGCCCAGUCAAAGCAAACGGAUAUUUACUUCUGAAACAUUAUUUGUAAUAUAAAACCAGUUCAGGGAUGUAGAUAUCUAGAACUCUCUUUGACAUUUAUAUUUUUUUUUUCAAUUUUUUUCCGGUUGGUGUACCUAAGAAAGUUGAGGAUGUACCAUAAAAUUCAAACAUGUAUUUACGUAUCUUGAUAAAUAUAAAAGACAAUACUCUUUAUUAAUUUCCAAAUUAUCAUAUUUGCGUUGAACAGUAAAAAAUAUAACACAUUUUUGUAAACAUAUUAAUUUUAAAAAUUAUGAAAUAUUAGAUAGAAAUAUAUUUUAUAUGAAAGAACAAUUUAUUUAAAAAUAGACUUAGGUUGUUAAUGCAAAGUAUAAAAUAAUAAUAAUUAUAACAUGAUUAAUAAAAUUUAUACAUUUAUUUCUUUAUAAUGAAUGUUUUGUGUCAUACUUUAAUAUGUAAAUUAUAAUACGAUUUUUAAACUCUUAUUAUGUUUUGCUUUUGUGAAGACUAUUGAGAAAUUUUGAUUAUAUUGUUGUAGUUUGGAAGUGUUAAAUAGUUGUGGUUGUAAUCGUUGGUUGAUGGAAGAAAUGUUCAUGUUAGUUUACGAAAGUAGUUUGAAACUUAAGAACGCUAUGCUUGAUUGUAGUGUAAUUACACCUUCAACAAUUUUAAAUAAUUAUAAAAAUCUAUGUUUGAUUGUAGUCUGUGACACCUUGAACUUAAUAGGAAAUGAAUCUUUAAUGCUGAACAUGAAUUUUGAUUAAAUUGAAAAGGAAGAAAUAAUAUGAAAUAGUUUUAUUACUUGAUAUGUGAAUUGGUCAUAUGUAAAUAGAAUAGUAAUUAAAAAAAAAGAUAUAAAUGGAUGAUUAUCCUUGUUUGUGGCCUGCUCUUUAUAUGCAAGAUUAUCAUUUGGUUCUGGUUCGCUCUUCCUGGUCAUCACGCUUGGGAAGCCGCCGGGGUGGGCCCGCAGAAAGGUUUGGUAAUGGUGGGCCCCGUGUUUUAAGGAAUGAUAAAAAAUAUUUUUAUUAUAUAAUAUAAAAGUAGAAAUUUUAGAUAAUGAAAGAAGAUUUUAAUUGUAUACUCGUUGUUAAUGUAAUAUUUUUCUUUAAUAAAAUAAAAAAAAAGUUUAGAUGAAAAUUUGUGAAAUGAAUAAGAAAAAUGAUAGUUUGAAUUUUUUUGAAGUUGUAUAUAAUUAUUAAUGUAAUAAAUUUAAAAAUAAAUAUAUAUAAUUAUUUUUUUUAUAAUUAAAUAAUAUUAAAAUAUAUUAAAAUAAUAGUAUAAGAGUUGUAUAAAAAUUUGGUUUCUUAAUGUAUUAUUAUCCAAUCAAUAAUGAAGGUAAGGUGGAAGGAGAAGAAAAGUAAAACUAAGAUAAGUUAUGGUAAAGUAUGAGUAUAAAAGAGAGAGGUGAGGAAGGGAAAUGGAAAGAGAGAGAGAAAUGAAGAAGAAUAGGAUGAUGAUGAUGAUAUGGAGCGUAGGAGUGGUGUGGAUGCUGUUGUUGGUUGGAGGAAGCUACGGAGAGCAGUGUGGAAGGCAAGCAGGAGGUGCACUCUGCCCAGGGGGCAACUGUUGCAGCCAGUUCGGGUGGUGCGGCUCCACCACCGACUACUGCGGCCCGGGUUGCCAGAGCCAGUGCGGGGGACCGUCUCCUGCUCCUACUGAUCUCAGCGCCCUCAUAUCCAGGUCCACCUUCGACCAGAUGCUCAAACAUCGCAACGACGGAGCCUGCCCAGCCAAAGGCUUCUACACCUACGAUGCCUUCAUCGCCGCCGCCAAGGCUUACCCCAGCUUCGGAAACACCGGAGACACGGCCACUCGCAAGAGGGAGAUUGCGGCCUUCUUGGGGCAAACGUCUCACGAAACAACCGGGGGAUGGGCCACUGCGNNNNNNNNNNNNNNNNNNNNNNNNNNNNNNNNNNNNNNNNNNNNNNNNNNNNNNNNNNNNNNNNNNNNNNNNNNNNNNNNNNNNNNNNNNNNNNNNNNNNGCUUCGUGAGGGAGCGGAACCCCAGCACGUACUGCUCCGCCACUCCCCAGUUCCCCUGCGCCCCUGGGCAGCAGUACUACGGCAGGGGUCCCAUCCAGAUAUCCUGGAACUACAACUACGGUCAGUGCGGAAGGGCCAUUGGGGUUGACUUGCUCAACAAACCUGAUCUAGUCGCCACUGACUCUGUCAUCUCCUUCAAGUCCGCCCUCUGGUUCUGGAUGACCGCACAGUCCCCCAAGCCUUCCUCCCACGACGUCAUCACCUCUCGAUGGACCCCCUCCUCUGCCGACGUCGCCGCCCGCCGGCUUCCCGGCUACGGCACUGUGACGAACAUCAUCAACGGAGGCCUGGAGUGCGGGCGAGGACAGGACAGCAGGGUUCAAGACCGCAUCGGAUUCUUCAAGAGAUACUGUGAUCUGCUUGGAGUCGGUUAUGGCAACAACCUUGACUGCUACUCUCAGACUCCAUUUGGAAAUUCACUCUUACUCUCUGACCUUGUCACCUCUCAGUGACACUGUCAUCCCAUCAGAAUAAAUAAACUCAUAGAUCUGUGUUUCACUUUCUGAUCACAACUUUUCCAAUAACACUUUUCCCACCAUCUAUCAAUAAAUUCACUACUUCUAUAUACCAUAUGCACAUCAACACGCUACUCUUUUAUUAUUAUUAUUUUUUUCCAUUCAUCUACUUACAAAUAUUUUAGUUAUUAUAUAAUAAAAUGAUGAGUUAACUCAUCUCUAUAAAAUAGAUUUAUAAAAAUGUUCCGAUAAUAGAUGAUACGAUAGACUCAACAAACAUUUGUUAGGAUAAACUUUUAAACGACUUUGAUACAUAUUAAAAAGUUGAGUCAUAAAAUCAACUUAUGAAUUAAACGAUUUUGAUAAAACGGACUUUAAAAUCAACUUAUAAAAUAAGAUUUAUACUCAUUUAUAUAAAAUAAAAUAUCAUAUAUAAGAUCUCCAAAUAUUUCAUUUCAUUUUCAAUUAUAAAAAUUUAAGUAGAUUAAGUCAAAUUAAUUAUAUCAUAUUAAUAGUUUUACAAUGUAUUAAUUCAAAUUUAUUGUAUGGUAUGGAAGGAGACUCUGUCCAUGAAAACAUGACAGCAUGGAUCAAAUAUCGUAAUGAGCACGACAAGGCGAGGGAAGAUUCAACCUGCACUGGUAUAUGUUUCUAUCAACUGCAAGACUUCCAAGACCCGUAACUUUCCCACCCAAAAUAUUCAAUCUAACUAUUCUUUUUUUACUUUAUCUUUAAACUCAAUAUAUAUAUUAACUACUUUACACACAAUUUUAACAGUGUGUUUGAAUUUAAUGAUUUACUCUUUGUAAUUAAAGAUAUAAGGAGAAGAGAAAGUUUAGAAAUCUAUGCAUUGGAAAAUGUAAAACACAUAAAUCUGUACAACAGAGUAACAUUUUAAUGUUUGAAAAUUUGAGAUGAAAGUUUAGAUAAUCAAUAAUAAGUAAUAUUUAAUUAUUUUAAUAAUUAUAUUAUUAAUCUUUGAACUAAGAAUGGUAUUGCAUCGUCCACCUCACAAAUUUUUAUCCUUAAAUUUUAAUAUAUGUUUUUAUGUAAGUUAUUCUACUUUUUUAAAUGUUGAAAGUUAUAGUCAACUUCUUCAAGCUUUUAAAAAAAACACAUGAGCAAGCUAAUCGUUUGACUCUCUUAAACAAUCAAUUGAAAGGGUUGAAUAACUAACUUGAAAACAGAGUCAAGGCACUAGAAGAAGAGUUGGAGAAUUAAAAAACUGAUUUUGAAAAUCUAGAACACUGCAUUAAAAUUGAAUUAAUCUGUUUUACAUUCUGACUGUUGCAGAUUCUUUCCCCAAGCAGUUAUGGGUCAAAGUGAAAUUAUCAUGGGUCUGAUUUCGUUGAGAAGGGUGUUACUUUUGUCAUAAAUGGAAUAUAUUCCAUAAUUUCUUGAAAAAUUAAGAAUCUUUAUGACUAGUCAAAGUAUUCAUGUGCCACCAUGUGAAAUCUGCCACUGAGUGACGUUCCACUUUGUAACCUUGGACCAUGUUCUCUUUCUUGAAGACUGAAACCCACUAAAUGUCAAGGAUUGGAACUGUUUUAUGUGAAUAUAUAAACUCAUAUGCAGUUGUUUCUCUUCACAAAAACAACCCAUUGCCACAUCUCUUGUUGGUUUGAAAAUCUGCCCAAGAAUCUCAUUUUGCUUUUCUAUUUUUCUCUUUGUCUUCGUGGGACCCACACCCCCCUCAUCAAAGAGGAUCAAAACAAGGAUUGUAAGAAGGGGAGGACGCAUUGAGGCAUGGUUCUCGGAUGAAGAUGAAAAGAUCGAGAAAUAUCUUCAUGAAACAAGUAGGAAGACAAUAAACAAUCCAAAGCUUAUCUCUUUGACUUGGUUAAAGGAGCAGAAGCUAGGUGAGCUGAGAAUUCUUCUCAAAGAACAGAUGCUGAAGAGGUUCUUGGAGAUGUCAGGAAACACAUAUCCUGAUCUUAUAAGGGUAUUCUAUACCAACCUUCACUUUGUUGGAAAUAACCUUGUUUCUCAUGUAAAAGGGGUUGAUAUGGAGAUUACACAUGAAGUAUGGACUGCCAUCAUUGGAUUAACAAAGGGAACAUUGGUGUGGUGGAGGAAUUUAACAAAAUACAAUUUUACAAGAAUUGCUUGAAGAAUCCUCAAGCUAAAGUGAGUAUUUUUUCAGUGGGAGGUCUUAAGUUGAAUGAAAGGCUAAUUGUGACAUGGAUGCUCACACCUAGGGGGAGCAAUCAUUCUGUGCUUACUGAGGAGGAUCUUGUCUACAUGUAUUGUAUUAUGAGCAAAGUCAAGAUUAAUUGGAUCCACAUCAUCAAGGAACGCAUGCAGAAAUCAAUGAGGUUAAGUGAUUAUCACUAUCCAUAUGCUGUUUUGAUUUCUAAAUUCUUGAAUUAUUUUGAAGUGGACCUUGAGGAAGAACAAACUGAAGUUGUGAAAUCAUCUCUUGAAGUGAACAAUGGUUCACUUAGCAAGAUGGGUUUCACCAAGAUUAGUGGAAAAUGGGUAAGCAAAGAUGGUGAUCAAGGUGGUUCCUCAAGUGGUGUGCAAGCUCAACAAGAAGAGGAAGAUUUUGAUGUUGAAGGUGCUGGAGUUGAUGCUCAAGAAGAACAUGCUGCUGCUGAUAUAGGUGAUGGAACAAGUGCUGGAAAUCAAGGAGAAAAGAUUAUCUCAAUGUCUCAUUUUGAGAGGUUUAUGGUUAAUAGGAUGGACAACUUUGCUGAAAACCAAAGGAAUCUCCAUGAUUUUUGUGCUACAAAUUUUCAUAACUUUGAUGACAGAUUCCAAAGUAUGGAUACACGUUUCCAGAACCUUGAUGAACAAAUUUAAGUUGUUCAAAACCAACUAUUUGAGCUGCAGUACAGAAAGGAAGAUUGAAGCAAAGUUUUAGUUAUCUUUAUGCUUAUCUUGCUUUAAUUUUUGGACAUCACUUUCCUAAUUUUGUUUUUAUCUCUUCUUAAUUCUAUUUGUGAAGAAAAAUAGGGGAAGAAUAUGGUUUAUGUGUUGUCUUAAAACUGCUAUAACUCUGAUUGAAGUGUGUUUUAGUUUCUGUUGCAUAUGCUGGAUUGGUUUUGGUGCUGCAGUUUUGGUAGUUUUGGCAUUGUUUGUGGCUGGUUUUUCUACUCUUGUGGUUAUGCAGAAAACUAGUUAGUGUGCCAUCAUAACCUGCUAUUAAAGAUGCUUUGGGUUUGCAUAGUUUCUGUUUUACAGGUGUUGUUUCAAAUUCAAACAAGACUAACACAAGCAACCAGGGAUUUGUCUUCAUCAAAUAGGGAGAGAUUAUUUAUCAAGAGUGAUCAAGAGCUUUGAAGAAUCCAAAUCUAAGGUGUUUGAUGAAAGGAUGGAGUGGUUGUUGUGUGUGGGUGGGAUUUGGGUAAAUUAAAGUGUAAUCCACUCCAUUGUUGAAUCUAAAACUGAUGUGAAUUAAAACCUUUUUGAAAAUGGAUGUUUUUCUAACCAAGUGAAAUAAAACCUGUUGUUUUGUCGAAUCAACCAGUUGUUUUACUCUUAGAGGCUUUUGAAAAGGGUUGAAAGCUGUUUGACUUGGUUGACUUUGUUGUCAAACAAAUUCAAUCGGUUGUUUUGUGAUUUCAACCGAUUGUGUCUUUGAAAAUCCUAACAGAAUUCAAUUUUGAUUGGUGAAUCUGUCUUAAAUGAUUUCUAAUUGAAUACGCUUAUGCUUUAAAUGUUUUUGACCAACCUUUGGAAGUAUAUAUAGUUUGUUAUACGCUCCUGGAAGGUAAGAAACAAUUUUGAGAAUUCAGUUUGACAAAUUUGAUCUCAACUUUUCAAGAUUCACAUCAAGCUUUGGAUUUUCAAGUGAGAGUGGAAUAAGAUUGCAAUUGUAUACUUUUCAGUUGUGCUUUGAUCAGGUGUAAUCCUUUCUCAAUCUUCAGUAUUUCUGUAUUUGUGUUGCUGAGAGUGUUGUGUGUUCUUGAGGUGUUCAAGAUGUGGUUUGCCAAAGGUAGUGUGUUUCUUGAGGGGUUCAAUGUCACUACUUUGGUGUGUGGUGUUUGUAAUAUGGUUUUGAUUGCUUAGUGGAUUGUAGCUCUUGGUGUAAGAGUGAACCAAUAUAAAUAUGUUUGUGUGAUUCUCUCUUUUCCUGAUCUCACAUAUAUCUGUUUUAAGUUGUUUUUUAUUAACUGCUGAUAAAAACAAUCGAUUGAAUCGCAAAAACAACUGGUUGAUUUUCUGGACAUCAACUAAAACAGUUUUGUACUUUGCUUUCCUUAGUUUCUUUCUCUGUGAUUCUUCAUUGACUUUCAUUAUACCUUCAAAGUUUUCGAAAAUCUUUUAUAAACAAUUCACCUCCCCUCUUGUUUAAGGCCAUAUAUUCUAAAAGGAUUCUCCAAGGAGCAAAAUAAGAUAUCAGAAAAUUCAAAAGGCAGCUUUGGUUGUAGUGAUCACAACGAGAAGGUUGAUGUAUUAUUUUUAGAAUUUUGAGUUAUUGUGAAUUUUUUUUUGCCAAUUAAGCAGGUUUUACUAAAGGUAGAAUGAUGAAAUGGACAAUAGAGCUUUCAGAAUAUGAAUUGGUGUUUGAAAGUAGGGAUUUAAUACGACCUGAAGUUCUGAUACAAAACAAUAACAUUUUAAUGUUUGAAAAUUUGAGAUGAAAGUUUAGAUAAUCCAUAAUAAGUAAUAUUUAAUUAUUUUAAUAAUAUAUUAUUAAUCUUUGAACUAAGAAUGGUAUUGCAUCGUCCACCUCACAAAUUUUUACCCUUAAAUUUCAAUAUAUAUUUUUCAUUUAUAACCGUGUAUAAAAAAUUCUCCCAUUUUAUAUUUAUAUGUUUUAAUUAUAUUUUAAAAUAAAUUAUCAAAUUAUUAAAAACAACUGUUCAAACAUAUUUAAAUAACACAACACAUUAUAAACCAUCCACAUAUUUUUGUAAUUAUCCACUAUUUUUCUAUAUAAUUGUCAUUAUUAAUAUUGUUAUUUUUCUUAGAAUAUAUAAUUUCUCAUUGAUUUACAAUAGACGACAUGCAAAUGAGUACUAACAUUUUUUUAACACUUCAAAAUAAAAGUUUUGUAAACAUGAUUUAACAUUUAAGGUCAUGCAUUAUCUUCCCUUUCUAAAUGGAUAUUAUAGAGGUGAUGUUUAAUAAUUUCUUAUGAUUUGUUCCGGAACUUCUCGCAAUGAAAUUUAUUAUUAUGGAACAGCUAUAUAAAACAAUUUACAAUUUAAAAUGAAUGUUCUAAAAUGAUUUUUUGGUAGAUUACGGCAAGGUGUUUGAUGGAAAGCGACAUUGGAAGACUGAACAGGUUCUUGUUCAGAGCCGUUUUCCUUCUACGUGCUUUGUGGUGUUUAAAUAUCCCAACUCAUCCUCUUUUGUUAAGAAAAUAAUAAUGAUUAAAUUAUACGUAAUUAUUGUAUGCAAUAUUAUACGAUAUUGUAUCUAAUUAUAUGCAAUUAAUUUAAUAAUGAUAGAAUCUAUCUCAUAUGAUGAAUUGAUACUGCUAAUUAGAUUGUAAUUAUAUAUACAUAUAAAAGAAUAAAACAUCUUUAUUAGAGUACCGAGCACCGAUCUUGGUGUGCUCUUGGUGUAGCCUCUCCAUUUUUUAUCCGUUUAAAUAAGAAAUGUCUGGCAAAGAAGACACAGUAACGAGUCCGACAAAAACCUAGGCUUCACCGCCGAGCAAAUUCAACAAUUGGCUAACGAUAAAAGUGACACGUUUGUUAGCGCUGCAGGUCUGCUUGCCCAAAACUCGUCUAUUAAUUCUGCUUUUAGAAAACCAUGGAUUUUGGAUAGUGGAGCAACCAAUCAUUUUGCAUCUGAUUCACAAUUUUUCACACACACUUCAUCAUCAUUUAUUCCAAAUGUUAAUCUGCCCACAGGCUUAACUGCGCCCAUCUCAUCGAGCACAAUUAAAUUCAAUGACAAUAUCACUCACAAAGAUGUUCUUUGCGUUUUUUCUUUUAAUUUAAAUCUCAUAUCCGUUAGUAAGAUAACCAAUUCACUACAUUGUUGUGUCGUUUUUACUCCACAUGGUUGUGUUUUGUAGGACUUGGCUACGGGAGGAUGAUUGGCCCCUCUUCCAAACCAAGUCCACACAUCUCAAACCUGACCCUGAUUUAUGACACAAGCACCUCGAACAUCCUUCGUGUCUACAACUUGCAUCUUCCUUACUACCUAUUCUAUCACUAAAAAUCUCAUUCUCAUUCAUAAUAAUUGUAGUAUUUGUUCCAAAGCUAAACAGACAAGUUACCGUACUUGGUUAUUUCUUAUGAAUCACAAGUCUGAAACCCAAACAUCUCUUAGAAUCAUUCAUUACUUUUGCACAAAAUCAAUUUCAGGCAUCUAUUAAAACCAUUCGCGUUGACAAUGGAUUGGAAUUUAUUUCUAUGCGUAAUUUUUUUCUCAAAAAAGUAUUGAAUGUCAACGCACGUGUAUGUACACUCCUCAACAAAAUGUAGUAGAACACAAACAUAGACACAUACGAGCCCUCCUAUUUCAGUCUCAUUUACCAUUAGAAUUUUGGGAGAAUGCGUUUUAACUGCCACAUAUAUCAUUAAUCGCUUGCCAACACCCUUACUAAAAAAUAAAGGAUCGAGUCAAAUACAUAGCAUUUUCGGUUCGGACCCUAAGUCAAUGUAUACAGGAUCUACGGAAACCUCAUUGGAUGCCGCAAUUCGAGUUCUAAAGUAUAUCAUCGGGACAAGGAUUGCUAUUGCCAUCCGAAAACAAUCUAACAUUGACAGCUUAUUGCAACUCAGACUGGGGAGGUUGUCAGACAACUUGGAGAUAAGUAUCUGGGUAUUUCAUUUUUAGUUCUUCUAUUAUAUCAUGAAAGUCAAAAAAACAAACAAGAUCAUAAACGGAAGCAAAAUACCACGCGAUGGCCAAUACUUGUUUGGAGAUAGUUUGAUUGCGCGACAUUACAUAUAGUAUUUCAUGAACGCACAAAACACAUUGAGAUAGACUGCCACAUUGUCGUUUUGCUGUCAAAUUAAUAUGAUUCUAGCGUAGAUUUGUAUUGUCUAACACUAGAGAAAUGAUAGUAUAUAAUUGUGGUUAGAUGACCCUAAGUCGUCUCCCAACGAAUCCAAUAGUAAAAUUAGUAUAUCAGUGUUUAGAAUUUAUCUACAAGCAAUAAAAGUUAGUAACAACAAUAAUAAAAAAAAGGGGCUUAAGAUAGUUAUGCAGAAAAUAUAAAAGAGAUUGAAAUAGAAAAUAAAAAGCGGUUGAUCCCAAGUUUUUCCACCAUUGAAUUCUUCACAGGUUCUCUAAAGAUUAAUCCUUUCUCAAUCCUCCACCAGAGCUAAACCAGAUUGAACAUGCGUUGAUCUGAUUCAAGUGAAACUCACUAGUAAAACAUGCGUUUACUAGUUUAAUCAAUACCCACUUUGUUCCAUAUUAAACUCUCAAUCAUGCGUUCAAGUACAAGCUCUCACAAAAACUAGUUUUUCAGAAGAUUAGACAAUAAAAACAACUGUUAUAAAGAAUUGAAAAAUGAAACUUUUAUUGAAUAAAACCUCAAAACUCAAUGAGAAAUUACAAAAGAAUCAACAAAAAAGGUUUAGCCUUCCAUGGGGAGGCAAAACAAAAGAAUUACAAAGAAGAAAAGAAACUAAGAAACAAUUUCCAAUUAUAGACUUGAUACUUGUGUCCUUUUAUAGACUUUUCUGCUCCAAGGAUCUUGGGAAAAUAUUGUAGUUUAUAUUUUGUUAACCGUUUCCAAUUUUCCAUCUUUCCAAAAUUCUUGUAUUUUGCAGAAGAUUUGCUUCCAAUUCUGUUUCUGAUAUAUUGUAGAUUUUAUUUUCUCUUUUUUUUUCCUCAGAAUUUGUUUCUUGUUUUGGUUCAAGAAGUAACUUGGACUUUUGCAUAUUUGGCCCGUUCACAAAGGUAGAUGCUUCCUCCAGAUAAUUUACUCUAAAAACACAAAAUUAACAACAAUAAUAGUUAAGGCCUAAAUAAACCCAAUUAUAAGAAUAUUAAUUAAAACAAUGGAGUUAUUUAUUAUUAUAGUCCAAUAAUCUAUGAAUAAGGCUAGUGAGUGUGAAUAAAUAUAUGCGCAUCAGCGACAUUACAUAAAUGCACAUUCACCUACCAACUUGGAAUGAGUAUUAAGGAAAUAAUAAUUAUCAAAUUAUACGCAAUUAUUGUAUACAAUUAAUGUAAUAAUGAUAGAAUCUGAUGAGUGAAUCUGUCUAAUUAAAUUGUAAUUUGGAGAGAUUAGGUUUCACUACAUGAAGUUAUGUAAAUACAUAAGAAUAAAACAUUUUCUUUCUUUGUAAAUACAAUUUUCUUAUAUCUUUUCUUUCUGAAUCGGAUCCUCUUAUUCAAUCUUCAUGACGGGGUUGUAAAUGUGGUUCAGCUUCGGGAGGCCUCUUGGAGUCCGACAACAUUAAGCUAUUUUUUUUUUCUGACGUAGCGUUUCACCCACAACAGUUGGCAACUUUCUCAGCGGUGAAGUUGUUAGACGUAAAAUCAUUCAGGUACUUUCAUCAAACAGUUUUAUCUUUAACAAUAGUUGAUUUCAUCUCAGUUCAUAACACAAGUUGGUCUUUCCCAUCGCCAUCAAAAAGCUUCAGUCUAACAUCAUCCAGAGCAAUCAAGAUAGAAAGGAGUGAAUCCACCUGAUCGUCGUUCACUAUCAAAACUAUCUUUCGUGUAUAUAGUGUUUUGCAUUUACAUCCAAUCUGAGAUGCGCAUGCCAAAAUUUACCAGUUGGAUUGUGUGAACGCAUACCAUACCAAUUUGUGUCAGGAGAAUAAAGUCACACUAAUAACCAACAUUUUACUAGCUCUAUACUAUUUUGAAACUUCCAUUACAUGCCACUGGAAUUGCCAGAAUACUUUUUCUUCAGCUUCCGACCCUUUUAUCCUGUGAUUUGUGAUGUAUUUUCCAGACAGCGAAAAUCGAUAUAUUCUGUUGCUUUAGCAUAAAAGGAUUUGCUAAGCGUAUAAGAAUUCAAUUCCCUUUUUCACAUAGAGUAGCCAUGAGUUCUGACCGAGCCUUGUCGAGGGCACUUGACAUCCUUUCAACUUAAUUUCUAAUAAUUUCUGUAACAAUCAUAAAACUAUAUAUUCAAUGGACUACCAGUAAUGUGAUGCAAUCUGCUUCUUAAUUGUCAGAUUUGUUUGGUUUUGACGAUAAAAACUUCAAGUGAGAAAAGGUUGCAAAACUUCUAUAUCAAAGAAACAUCUUCAGGUAGCUAAAACUGAAGAGAUCCCUCUCCCCCAUUAUCAGGGCAACAUAUACCCUCACUCGGAGAAACAUUACCUGUACUGUUUUGAAUUCCCCACCAACAAUGCUUUGCUCGCAAUAACGGAAGCUUUGUAGACUUCUGCUUUUGCACGUACUGCAGAAUUUUCAUUUCUCACUGCCCGUAACUCCUCUAAAAGGUUUUCUACCCUUGUUGUCACUUCUUCUGGCUUAGCCUUCAUAAAGUGAUAUUAAUAUAUUAAUUAUAACACGUAAUUACAUGCAAAAUCAAUAUUGCCGAGAAGAACGUAUGCUCAAAAGUGCUUGAAAGAAAUGGUGCAAUAUGCUGAAAAUGACCAAGCCAACAACAGCCCUGGAAUUUUUUAUUUUACGAAAAUACUAAUUAAAAAGUAUACAAAUAAAGGAGUUGUAGAACGUAAACAUAGACACAUUUUAAACACAACACGAGCUCUCAUAUUUCAAUCCCAUUUACCAUUAGAAUUUUGGGGGAAUGCGUUUUAACCGCCACAUAUAUCAUUAAUCGCUUGCCAACACCAUUUCUAAAAAGUAAAUCACCUUUUGAGACGAUAUAUAAUCGUCCACCUUCACUCUCUCAGUUAAAAACUCUUUUGGUUGCCUAUGUUAUGCAACUGUUGUUUCACCCUAAGCAAAAAUCUUCAUUGGUUAUCCCCUCAAUAAAGAAGCAUACAAAUUAUUUGAUAUGGAUGCAGACACUUUUUUUACAAGUCGGGAUGUCAUCUUCCAUGAAAGUGUUUUCCCAUUCUGCCAACAGUUCCAGAUGCAAUCCUCACCUCCAUCACAAGGUAUUUUGCCCAUUAUUGACAUUGACUUACCCACUUCUGUCCAACAUUCACUCGAUCAAUCUUCUUCUCUUACUCAUCAGAAUGCACCUGAACCUCCACCAAAACCAACUUUCUUCUCCUACUCGUCACAAUACACCUGAACCUCCAUCAAACCAACCCUCUUCUUUUACUCGUCACAAUGCACCUGAACUUCCAUCAAACCAACCUUCUUCUCCUACUCGUCAUAACCUCUAGUAGACCAACCUUCUUCUCCCAUGCCAAGAAGUCUAGCACCCAUUACCAACUCAUUACCAACCCUUCUCCAACCGACCUUCCUGUUCGACGAUCUAGUCGCACAUCAACCCUACCUUCCUGGCUUCAAGACUACGUAACGGGAUCCCUAGCCAAUCAUUCCACCACUGCCCAAGACUGACCGAAUGGAACCAGGUAUCUAUGCAUAAUUUUCUUUCUAAUUCACGAUUUUCUUCUACACAUAGUGCAUAUCUUUCUAACAUCACAACCACCAAAGAACCUCACACUUAUGCUCAGGCUAUCCUUGAUCCAAAUUGUCAAAAAGCAAUGGACGAAGAGCUUUCUGCCUUGCAGCUAAAUCAAAUGUGAACCUUGACACCGUUACCCGCUGGGCAGAAACCCAUCAGAUGCAAAUGGGUCUAUAAAAUAAAGUACAACUCAGAUGGUAGCGUCGACAAAUAUAAGGCGCGCCUUGUCGCAAAGGGGUACACUCAUUUUGAAGGUGUCGACUAUUCUGAAACUUUCUCACCAACAACAAAAAAUUAACAACUUUCUCCUCACUAUUGCAGCAGCCAAAAAUUGGUUUACUCACCAGAUAGAUGUGCAAAAUGCCUUUUUACAUGACACAUUGCAUGAAAUUAUUUACAUGGACUUGUCACCCGAGCAUCAUCGACAGGGGAGAACAUUGUAUGUCGACUCAACAAAUCACUUUAUGGUCUCAAACAAGCAUCUCAGACAUGGUUUUCAACACAUGUGAUUAAAUCUGUAGAAUUUCAACAGUCCAUUACUCUCUAUUCACAAGACAGAAUAACUCAUCAUUUAUUGCCCUUUUGAUUUAUGUGGAUGAUAUUCUUUUGACAAGAAAUUAUUUUACAGAAAUUCAGUGUGUUAAAGAUUGUCUAUUACAACAAUUUCGCACUAAAGAUCUUGAAGACCUAAAAUAUUUUCUAAGGAUUGAAUUUUCACGUUCCAAGGCUGGUAUUUACAUGUCCCAAAGAAAAUAUGCGCUUGAUAUUUUGCAGGAUACGAGACUCACAGGUGCUCGUCCAGACAAAUUUCCAAUGGAACAAUACCUAAAACUCACACCAGACGAGGGAGAGUUAUUAAAUGAUAAAGUCAAAUACAGGCGACUCGUGGGACGACCGAUAUACCUCACGGUUAUUCGGCCUAACAUAGCAUUUUCGGUUCGGACCCUAAGUCAAUAUACACAGGAUCCACGGAAACCUCAUUGGGAUGCCGCAAUUCGAGUCCUAAAGUACAUCAAAGGAUCAUCAGGACAAGGAUUGUUAUUGCCAUUCGAAAACAAUCUGACAUUGACAGCUUAUUGCGACUCAGAUUGGGGAGGUUGUCAGACAACUCAGAGAUCAGUAUAUGGUUAUUGCAUUUUUCUUGGUUCUUCUAUUAUCUCAUGGAAUUAAAAAAAAAAAAGACAAACGUAUCAAGAUCAUCAGCGGAAGCAGAAUACCGCUUGAUGACCAAUACUUCUUUGGAGAUAGUUUGGUUGCGAUAUCUGUUGCAGGAUUUAAAGGUGCCAUGUAACUUGCGAGCUCAACUUUUCUGUGACAAUCAAGCCAUAUAACAGCAAACCCAGUAUUUCAUGAACACACAAAACACAUUGAGAUAGACUACCACAUUGUACGAGAAAAAUUACAAGUUGAGAUAAUCAGUCCUUCAUAGGUACUGACACGUAUCAACUCGCUGAUAUUUUUACGAAGACACUGGGCAAGGAACGGUUUUUGACGCUACGACACAAGUUGGGGUUCAUGAUCUUCACCUACCAACUUGAGGGGAGUAAUAAGAAAAUAAUAAUUAUUAAAUUAUAUGCAAUUAUUGUAUGCAAUAGUGUACGACAUUGUCCAUAAUUAUAUGCAAUUAAUUUAAUAAUGAUAGAAUCUCAUGAUUAGUAUCCCUACCUAAUUAGAUUGUAAUUUACCUCACCUCAUUGAGACACGAUUUUAUGGGGUUGAGUUAGGCUUAAAGUCCACUUCUUAAUAUGGUAUAAGAGCCAUUUCGAGCCUAUCCUAGCGAUUGUUUGUGUUGGGCCUAUAGUGUCACCCACUAUCGGGCCGCUAUCGGACCACUCAUAAUAUAUAGUCUCACGCACGAGUUGGCAGUCUCAGUGUGACGGGGGUGUGUUGGAGAUCCCAUAUUGACUAGUGAUUAGUGCCUUUCAUAGUAUAUAAGUGGGUGCAAACCUCACCUCAUUGAGCCGGUUUUAUAGAGUUGAGUUAGACUUAAAGUCCACUUCAGGCAUCGACAAAUUUCUCCUCAAGCAACUUUUCUCCUCUCUCCAGUGUCUGCACAAACCGAAGCUCUUCUCUCUUCAGCUCCUCAAAGAUACGUGGCGCUUUGUUCUUCACAUCAACCUCAAUGUGUGUACUUAAUUCCACAACCUUCUCAUCAAUAAUUGGUAAAAACGCUCCUUCAAGGUCUCCCCUACUAUCACCCUUUUCCAAAAUAUGUUUCCAGAUAUUUUUUGUCAGAAUGAAUUUUUUGUAUUGUGGACUUUUUUUUAUUCAAAAUGGACUUUUUCAGAAUGUAUUAUUUUUAAUUUUGGAUUUUCUUAUCUAGAAUGAGAUUUUGAUUUUUUUUCUGGUUUAUUAUUUUCGAAACAAAAUAAUCUCUUCCAUAUCUACUUUUUCAUAAUGUAUUAUUUUCAAUUCUGGAUUUUCAUUUUCACAAUGAACUGCAUUUUUGGAAAUUUAAAACUAUGUUGAGUGCAAGUUAAAAAAAUUGGGUGUAGGAAGAAUUUGUGUUUUAAUUUUUUGGAUUGAACUUCAAAUGUGUAUCUUUUCAGUUAUAUAGAUUUGUUAUAUUCUCAAAAUUUAUAAUUUAUUAUUAAUCUUUGUUCACCAGUUUUAUUUAUUCAGUAAUUAUUUAUUUAUUUUACUGGACAUUCACGAUUCAAUCAGAUAGCUAUGAACUAAACGUUCAUUAAGUUGUCUGUGAAACAAAUGGAAGGUUAUGUUAUAUCAUAGUAUCACCAAAAUAUAGUGAAUAAAUAGAAUUUAGUGUAUACAAAGCUUUUGCAUUUCCUCGAGGUGGUAAUAAGAUAUGCUUAAAUGGAAAAAUAAUAUGCAGGUCCUUAGCAGCGAUACUGUGUUUUCUGUUCCCAUGGCGGAUACAUACAAUCUUCUUGGGGUUGACUCAAAAGACAUAAUUACAUUGGAGAAGUAUUUGCAAGACUACUUCAGUAACAUAUUAAAGAAAUUGAAGGAUCUCAAGGCCCAGUCAAAGCAAACGGAUAUUUACUUCUGAAACAUUAUUUGUAAUAUAAAACCAGUUAAAAGAUGUAGAUAUUUAGAAGUCUCUUUGACAUUUAUAUAUUUUUUUUCAAUUUUUUUCCGGUUGGUUGGUGUACCUAAGAAAGUUGAGGAUUUACCAUAAAAUUCAAACAUGUAUUUACGUAUCUUGAUAAAUAUAAAAGACAAUACUCUUUAUUAAUUGCCAAAUUAUCAUAUUUGCGUUGAACAGUGAAAGUAAAAAGAAAAAAAAAUAUAACACAUUUUUGUAAACAUAUUAUUAUGAAAUAAUAGAUAGAAAUAUAGUUUAUAUGAAAGAACAAUUUAUUUAAAAAUAGACUUAGGUUGUUAAUGCAAAGUAUAAAAAAAAAAUUAUAACAUGAUUAAUAAAAUUUAUACAUUUAUUUCUUUAUAAUGAAUGCUUUGUGUCAUACUUUAAUAUGUAAAUUAUAAUACGAUUUUUAAACUCUUAUUAUGUUUUGCUUUUGUGAAGACUAUUGAGAAAUUUUGAUUAUAUUGUUGUAGUUUGGAAGUGUUAAAUAGUUGUGGUUGUAAUCGUUGGUUGAUGGAAGAAAUGAAUUUGAAACUUAAGAACGCUAUGCUUGAUUGUAGUGUAAUUACACCUUCAACAAUUUUAAAUAAUUAUAAAAUAUCUAUGUUUGAUUGUAGUCUAAUUACACUAUGACACCUUGAACUUAAUAGGAAAUGAAUUUUAGUGCUUAACAUGUAUUUUGAUUAAAUUGAAGAAGAAAGAAAUAAUAUGAAAUAGUUUUGUUACUUUAUAUGUGAAUUGAUCAUAUGUAAAUACAAUAGUAAUUAAAAAAAAGAAAUAAAUGAAUGAUUAUUUUUGUUUGUGGUCUGUUUUUUAACACUUUGUUUACUUUAGAGGUCAUACUGUUUUUGACGAUGGAUGUGUGGGUGCCACCCCGUUUAAGUGUUACAUGCGAGCGAGGGGAUGAUGGAGAGAAAGUAAAAAGGUUGAGGAAUCAUCUAAAAAAUAAAAGAUAGAGGAUAAAGUGAUGAAGAGAAAGUCACGUUACACAUGAAGUUAUCAUCCUAACCUUACAAAUGAAAUUAUCAUCCUAAUCUUCAUUUGAUUCUUCGAGGCUUCAUUUUAAAACUAUCUAAAUAAAUUAACUUAUGUAAUAAAAUUAAUUUAAAUUAAUAAAAUAGUAAAUAAAAAAAAUUAUACUUAAAAUUAAAAUUAAAUUUAAUUAUUUCUUUGAAUUUUACAUUAUUAUUUUUUAUUUAUAAAUAAAACUUUAAAUUAUUUUAAUUAACUAAAAUAUAAACAAAAUUAAUAAUUAUUUAUCCAUUUUUUUAUAUAAAAAAAAUAAAAUUUAUAAUUUUACUAUUUACAUUAUAAAAAAUAAUUUAAAAUACUCUUACAACUUUCACAUCAUCCACAUAUUUUAAUAAACUAACUUUCUUCUCUAAUUUAUAUCAAUCUACACAACUACAACUUAAUUUCGCUCCCCAACCCUUGAAUUUUCCACUCCCAAAUUCAAAAUGAUUAUCGCUUGGUUCUGGUUCACUGUGUUUGGUCGUGGUCUUCCAGUCUUCACGCUUGGGAAGCCGCCGGGGUGGGCCCGCAGAAAGGUUUGGCAAUGUUGGGACGGAAGCGGUGUUUUAAUAAAAUAAAAACAGUUUAGAUCAAAACUUGGGAAAUGAAUAAUGAGGGUGAGGUGGAAGGAGGAGAAAAGUAAAAUUAAGAAUAGUUAAUGUUGAAGAAAUUGAUUAUGAUGGUAAAGUAAGAGUAUAAAAGAGAGAGGGAAGGAAGGGAAACGGAAAGAGAGAAAGAGAAAGAGAAAUGAAGAAGAAUAGGAUGAUGAUUAUGAUAUGCAGUGUAGGAGUGGUGUGGAUGCUGUUAGUUGGAGGAAGCUACGGAGAGCAGUGUGGAAGGCAAGCAGGAGGUGCACUCUGCCCAGGGGGCAACUGUUGCAGCCAGUUCGGGUGGUGCGGCUCCACCACUGACUACUGCGGCAAGGAUUGCCAGAGCCAGUGCGGGGGACCGUCUCCUGCUCCUACUGAUCUCAGCGCCCUCAUAUCCAGGUCCACCUUCGACCAGGUGCUCAAACAUCGCAACGACGGAGCAUGCCCAGCCAAAGGCUUCUACACCUACGAUGCCUUCAUCGCCGCCGCCAAGGCUUACCCCAGCUUCGGAAACACCGGAGACACGGCCACUCGCAAGAGGGAGAUUGCGGCCUUCUUGGGGCAAACGUCUCACGAAACAACCGGGGGAUGGGCCACUGCGCCCGACGGACCAUACGCAUGGGGAUACUGCUUCGUGAGGGAGCGGAACCCCAGUGCGUACUGCUCCGCCACUCCCCAGUUCCCCUGCGCCCCUGGGCAGCAGUACUACGGCAGGGGUCCCAUCCAGAUAUCCUGGAACUACAACUAUGGUCAGUGCGGAAGGGCCAUUGGGGUUGACUUGCUCAACAAACCUGAUCUAGUCGCCACUGACUCUGUCAUCUCCUUCAAGUCCGCCCUCUGGUUCUGGAUGACCGCACAGUCCCCCAAACCUUCCUCCCACGACGUCAUCACCUCUCGAUGGACCCCCUCCUCUGCCGACGUCGCCGCCCGCCGGCUUCCCGGCUACGGCACUGUGACGAACAUCAUCAACGGAGGCCUGGAGUGCGGGCGAGGACAGGACAGCAGGGUUCAAGACCGCAUCGGAUUCUUCAAGAGAUACUGUGAUCUGCUUGGAGUUGGUUAUGGCAACAACCUUGACUGCUACUCUCAGACUCCAUUUGGAAAUUCACUCUUCCUCUCUGACCUUGUCACCUCUCAGUGACACUGCCAUCCCAUCAGAAUAAAUAAACUCAUAAAUCUGUGUUUCCCUUUCUGAUCACAACUUUCCAAUAACACUUUUCCCACCAUCUAUCAAUAAAUUCACUACUUCUAUAUACCAUAUGCACAUCAACAUGCUACUCUUUUAUUUUUUAUUAUUUUUUCAUUCAUCUGCAUACAAAUAUUUUAGUUAUUAUAUAAUAAAAUGAUGAGCUAACUCAUUUUCAUAAAAUAGAUUUAUG